This 507-nucleotide ribosomal RNA is filed under the name uncultured bacterium. Its description in RNAcentral is "bacterial SSU rRNA". It matches the Rfam family "Bacterial small subunit ribosomal RNA", at positions 29 to 535 of the family's 1533-position model. The record is from RNAcentral.
AAUGAACGUUGGCGGCAUGGAUUAGGCAUGCAAGUCGAGCGAGAACUCUAAGAUUGAAACUUCGGUCGAUUUCUUAGAGGGACAGCGGCGAAAGGGUGAGUAACGCGUAGUUACCUGCCCGAGGGUCCAGAAUAGCUUCGGGAAACUGAAGGUAAUGCUGGAUAAUAUCUCCGGAUCAAAGGUGAGAUUCCGCCCUCGGAGGGGACUGCGUCCUACUAGCUUGUUGGUGGGGUAAUGGCCUACCAAGGCAACGAUGGGUAGCGGGCGUGAGAGCGUGGCCCGUCACACUGGGACUGAGACACUGCCCAGACACCUACGGGUGGCUGCAGUCGAGAAUCUUCGGCAAUGCGCGAAAGCGUGACCGAGCAAUGCCGCGUGCGGGAUGAAGGCCCUCGGGUUGUAAACCGCGAAAGUAAGGAGGAAGGCUCUGUGAAGAGCGGAGUUUGACCAAUUUACAGUAAGGACGGGCUAAGUUCGUGCCAGCAGCCGCGGGUAAAGUAGACGUCU